AACGAACGCUGGCGGCAUGCCUAACACAUGCAAGUCGAACGAGAUCUCCGGGUCUAGUGGCGCACGGGUGCGUAACGCGUGGGAACCUGCCCUUAGGUUCGGAAUAACCUCCCGAAAGGGGUGCUAAUUCCGGAUAAUGACCUCGGACCAAAUAUUUAUCGCCUUUGGAUGGGCCCGCGUUGGAUUAGCUUGUUGGUAGGGUAAAAGCCUACCAAGGCGACGAUCCAUAGCUGGCCGGGGAGGAUGAUCCGCCACACUGGGACUGAGACACGGCCCAGACUCCGACGGGAAGCAGCAGUGGAGAAUAUUGGACAAUGGGAGAAAGCCUGAUCCAGCAAUGCCGCGUGAAUGAUGAAGGCCUUAGGGUUGUAAAGCGCUGUUGCCCGAGAUGAUAAUGACAGUACCGUGAAAAUAAGGUCCGGCUAACUCCGUG
Molecule: ribosomal RNA, 433 nt
Filed under: uncultured bacterium
Lineage: Bacteria
Description: partial 16S ribosomal RNA
Rfam family: Bacterial small subunit ribosomal RNA
Source: RNAcentral